RNAcentral lists this ribosomal RNA (324 nucleotides) under uncultured bacterium. Its description in RNAcentral is "bacterial SSU rRNA". It matches the Rfam family "Bacterial small subunit ribosomal RNA", at positions 28 to 334 of the family's 1533-position model. The record is from RNAcentral.
GAUGAACGCUGGCGGCGCAUUUAAGACAUGCAAGUCGAACGGAGCACCCCUGAAGGAGUUUUCGGACAACGGAAGGGAAUGCUUAGUGGCGGACUGGUGAGUAACGCGUGAGGAACCUGCCUUUCAGAGGGGGACAACAGUUGGAAACGACUGCUAAUACCGCAUGACACAUAUUGACCGCAUGGUUGGUAUGUCAAAGAUUUAUCGCUGAAAGAUGGCCUCGCGUCUGAUUAGCUUGUUGGUGAGGUAACGGCCCACCAAGGCGACGAUCAGUAGCCGGACUGAGAGGUUGACCGGCCACAUUGGGACUGAGAUACGGCCCAG